RNAcentral lists this ribosomal RNA (326 nucleotides) under uncultured eukaryote. Its description in RNAcentral is "partial 18S ribosomal RNA". It matches the Rfam family "Eukaryotic small subunit ribosomal RNA", at positions 1470 to 1796 of the family's 1831-position model. The record is from RNAcentral.
CCCUUAGAUGUUCUGGGCCGCACGCGCGCUACACUGAUGCAUUCAACAAGCCUAGCCUUGACCGAGAGGUCCGGGUAAUCUUUGAAACUGCAUCGUGAUGGGGCUAGAUUAUUGCAAUUAUUAAUCUUCAACGAGGAAUGCCUAGUAAGCGUGAUUCAUCAAAUCGCGUUGAUUACGUCCCUGCCCUUGGUACACACCGCCCGUCGCUCCUACCGAUUGAAUGUGUUGGUGAGGAGCUCGGAUUGGCAGCAGUUGGUGGUUCGCCACCGGCUAUUGCUGAGAAGUCCUCCAAACCGCCCCAUUUAGAGGAAGGAGAAGUCGUAACA